RNAcentral lists this ribosomal RNA (465 nucleotides) under uncultured bacterium. RNAcentral describes it as "partial 16S ribosomal RNA". It matches the Rfam family "Bacterial small subunit ribosomal RNA", at positions 338 to 795 of the family's 1533-position model. The record is from RNAcentral.
CCUACGGGUGGCAGCAGUAGGGAAUCUUCCACAAUGGGCGAAAGCCUGAUGGAGCAAAGCCGCGUGAAUGAAGAAGGUCUUCGGAGCGUAAAACCCUGUUGUUAGAGAAGAAAGUGCGUGAGAGUAACUGUUCACGUUUCGACGGUAUCUAACCAGAAAGCCACGGCUAACUACGUGCCAGCAGCUGAGGUAAUAGGUAGGUGGCAAGCGUUAUCCGGAUUUAUUGGGCGUAAAGGGAGCGCAGGCGGUCUUUUAAGUCUGAUGUGAAAGCCUUCGGCUUAACCGUAGUAGUGCAUUGGAUACUGGCAGACUUGAGUGCAGAUGAGGUGGGUGGAACUCCAUGUGUAGCGGUGAAAUGCGUAGAUAUAUGGAAGAACACCAGUGGCGAAGGCGGCUCACUGGUCUGUCACUGACGCUGAGGUUCGAAAGCGUGGGUAGCAAACAGGAUUAGAUACCCUUGUAGUC